GACGAACGCUGGCGGCGUGCCUAAUACAUGCAAGUAGAACGCACAGUUUAUACCGUAGCUUGCUACACCAUAGACUGUGAGUUGCGAACGGGUGAGUAACGCGUAGCUAACCUGCCUGGUAGCGGGGGAUAACUAUUGGAAACGAUAGCUAAUACCGCAUAAUAUUAAUUAUUGCAUGAUAAUUAAUUGAAAGGUGCAAUUGCACCACUACCAGAUGGACCUGCGUUGUAUUAGCUAGUAGGCGAGGUAACGGCUCACCUAGGCGACGAUACAUAGCCGACAUGAGAGGGUGGUCGGCCACACUGGGACUGUGACACGGCCCAGACUCCUACAGGAAGGAGCAGUAGGGAAACUUCGGCAAUGGGCGAAAGUCUGACCGAGCAACGCCGCGUGAGUGAAGAAGGUUUUCGGGUCGUAAAGCUCUGUUGUAAGGGAAGAACGGGUGUGAGAGUGGAAAGUUCACACUGUGACGGUAUCUUACCAGAAAGGGACGGCUAACUACGUG
Molecule: ribosomal RNA, 505 nt
Filed under: uncultured bacterium
Lineage: Bacteria
Description: partial 16S ribosomal RNA
Rfam family: Bacterial small subunit ribosomal RNA
Source: RNAcentral